GCAUCCACGGAUCCCGGCCCAGUCCAGCUUUGUUUGCUCGGAGACGGCACAUCCAUGGAUUAGGCUGCUUGCUGGAGAAGAGACCAUAAUUGGCCCGAUGACAUCGCCACCACUUUGUGUUUCCUGUUUCUCAGCUGGAGUCGGAGCGCAAUUGAGGGAGAAUUGUUUUGCAGUUCGACUCUUUCAUUAAGAAACAGCAAAGCAUUCCCUAGAAGUUGGAGCAUCGUUUGGCGAAGUUUUACCAUCGUCUCGGGACAAUAGGAUGCUAAGCGGUGCUUCAGCAGGUAGACGAGGCUAAAGCAGAGGAGCCAGUGUGAGGUGAUCGUGCGCGGCGGUUGGCUGAGGGGAC
Alosa sapidissima (American shad) is the source of this 349-nucleotide long non-coding RNA. RefSeq lists it as uncharacterized. Lineage: Eukaryota; Metazoa; Chordata; Actinopteri; Clupeiformes; Clupeidae. The record is from RefSeq and is a predicted model, not a curated record. The transcript has 3 exons.